CCUGCCCCUAGAGGCAUUGUAGGUAUGGCUGCUGUGUCACAUGUGUGUCAGGAGGUGGCAGUGAGGAGAGGCUAUGUCUGUGCUUAGUGUUCUGACCUAUUCAUCUGAAUGUUUAGUAGCCUAACAUU
Molecule: small nucleolar RNA, 128 nt
Organism: Grammomys surdaster
Lineage: Eukaryota; Metazoa; Chordata; Mammalia; Rodentia; Muridae
Product: small nucleolar RNA SNORA17
Exons: 1
Source: RefSeq, a predicted model, not a curated record